GAAAUGUCUCCACUUCUGCUAAAUUAAUGCUCUUCUUUUUUAUUUCAGUCUUCUUUGAAAAGAAUGUAUUACUCCGUUAUGAAAAAACAGUCAAUGCUUUUCAGUUGUAUAACUGGAUUUCUAUUAUAUGUGCAGACCCAGGGGAAACCCUACAAACUGAAUUAACUAGAGCAGGAUUUUUUUUUAAUUUUUUAAAAUAUUUUAUUUAUUUAUUUGACAGACAGGGAUCACAAGUAAGCAGAGAGUCAGGCAGGGUAGGGGGGAAGCAGGCUCCC
Lutra lutra (Eurasian river otter) is the source of this 275-nucleotide long non-coding RNA. RefSeq lists it as uncharacterized. The record is from RefSeq and is a predicted model, not a curated record. The transcript is spliced from 3 exons. Lineage: Eukaryota; Metazoa; Chordata; Mammalia; Carnivora; Mustelidae.